RNAcentral lists this ribosomal RNA (469 nucleotides) under uncultured Pelotomaculum sp. Its description in RNAcentral is "bacterial SSU rRNA". It matches the Rfam family "Bacterial small subunit ribosomal RNA", at positions 910 to 1382 of the family's 1533-position model. Lineage: Bacteria; Bacillati; Bacillota; Clostridia; Eubacteriales; Desulfotomaculaceae. The record is from RNAcentral.
UUGACGGGGCCGCACAAGCGGUGGAGCAUGUGGUUAAUUCGACGCAACGCGAGAACCUUACCAGGGCUUGACAUCCCCUGACCGCGUAUGAAAGUACGUUUUCACCUCGGGUGACAGGGAGACAGGUGGUGCAUGGUUGUCGUCAGCUCGUGUCGUGAGAUGUUGGGUUAAGUCCCGCAACGAGCGCAACCCCUACGUUUAGUUGCUAACGCGUGAAGGCGAGCACUCUAGACGAACUGCCGUUGACAAAACGGAGGAAGGUGGGAUGACGUCAAAUCAUCAUGCCCCUUAUGUUCUGGGCUACACACGUGCUACAAUGGCCGGUACAGACGGACGCAAAGCCGCGAGGUGGAGCAAAUCCUAAAAAGCCGGUCUCAGUUCGGAUUGCAGGCUGCAAUUCGCCUGCAUGAAGUCGGAAUCGCUAGUAAUCGCAGGUCAGCAUACUGCGGUGAAUACGUUCCCGGGCCUU